RNAcentral lists this ribosomal RNA (541 nucleotides) under uncultured archaeon. Its description in RNAcentral is "bacterial SSU rRNA". It matches the Rfam family "Archaeal small subunit ribosomal RNA", at positions 458 to 997 of the family's 1478-position model. The record is from RNAcentral.
CCAGCAGCCGCGGGAACACCGGCGGCCCGAGUGGUGAUCGUGAUUAUUGGGUCUAAAGGGUCCGUAGCCGGUUUGGUCAGUCCUCCGGGAAAUCUGAUAGCUCAACGUAUUAGGCUUUCGGGGGAUACUGCCAGACUUGGAACCGGGAGAGGUAAGAGGUACUACAGGGGUAGGAGUGAAAUCUUGUAAUCCCUGUGGGACCACCUGUGGCGAAGGCGUCUUACCAGAACGGGUUCGACGGUGAGGGACGAAAGCUGGGGGCACGAACCGGAUUAGAUACCCGGGUAGUCCCAGCCGUAAACGAUGCUCGCUAGGUGUCAGGCAUGGCGCGACCGUGUCUGGUGCCGCAGGGAAGCCGUGAAGCGAGCCACCUGGGAAGUACGGCCGCAAGGCUGAAACUUAAAGGAAUUGGCGGGGAGCACAACAACGGGUGGAGCCCUGCGGUUUAAUUGGACUCAACGCCGGACAACUCACCGGGGGCGACAGCAAUAUGUAGGCCAAGCUGAAGACUUUGCCUGAAUCGCUGAGAAGAGGUGCAUGG